CCCUGCAUUCGAAAGAGAUCGUGGGUUGCCUGUGCCCUGGUCAUUGAUAGUGCAGGGAAAGGAAUUGGUGAAAGUGUUUCCCUGUGUUUGGAGAGUCCCCUCCUGUCCCUUCUGAACUCUGGAGCUUUCGUACA
This 134-nucleotide small nucleolar RNA is filed under the name Carlito syrichta (Philippine tarsier). RNAcentral describes it as "Small nucleolar RNA SNORA71 (ENSTSYG00000037560.1)". It matches the Rfam family "Small nucleolar RNA SNORA71". From Rfam's summary of the family: The members of this family belong to the H/ACA class of snoRNAs which bind a number of proteins (including dyskerin, Gar1p and Nop10p) to form snoRNP complexes. This class of snoRNAs are thought to guide the sites of modification of uridines to pseudouridines by forming direct base pairing interactions with substrate RNAs. Lineage: Eukaryota; Metazoa; Chordata; Mammalia; Primates; Tarsiidae. The record is from Rfam by way of RNAcentral.